UAGGGAAUUUUCGUCAAGUGGGGGCAACCCUGAACGAGCAAUGCCGCGUGAGCGAAGAAGGUCUUCGGAUUGUAAAGCUCUGUUGACCGGGGAAAAGGAAGGAAAGAGGAAAUGCUUUUCUUUGGAUGGUACCCGGCCAGAAAGUCACGGCUAACUACGUGCC
This 163-nucleotide ribosomal RNA is filed under the name uncultured bacterium. Its description in RNAcentral is "partial 16S ribosomal RNA". It matches the Rfam family "Bacterial small subunit ribosomal RNA", at positions 355 to 509 of the family's 1533-position model. The record is from RNAcentral.